ACGCCUGAUGAGAGCAACGCCGGGGUGGUGUGAUGAAGGCUUUCGGGUCGUAAAGCACUGUUGUAUGAGAAGAACAGCUAGAAUAGGGAAUGAUUUUAGUUUGACGGUACCAUACCAGAAAGGGACGGCUAAAUACGUGCCAGCAGCCGCGGUAAUACGUAUGUCCCGAGCGUUAUCCGGGAUUUAUUGGGCGUAAAGCGAGCGCAGACGGUUGAUUAAGUCUGAUGUGAAAGCCCGGAGCUCAACUCCGGAAUGGCAUUGGAAACUGGUUAACUUGAGUGCAGUAGAGGUAAGUGGAACUCCAUGUGUAGCGGUGGAAUGCGUAGAUAUAUGGAAGAACACCAGUGGCGAAGGCGGCUUACUGGACUGUAACUGACGUUGAGGCUCGAAAGUGUGGGUAGCAAACAGGAUUAGAUACCCUGGUAGUCCACACCGUAAACGAUGAACACUAGGUGUUAGGAGGUUUCCGCCUCUUAGUGCCGAAGCUAACGCAUUAAGUGUUCCGCCUGGGGAGUACGACCGCAAGGUUGAAACUCAAAGGAAUUGACGGGGACCCGCACAAGCGGUGGAGCAUGUGGUUUAAUUCGAAGCAACGCGAAGAACCUUACCAGGUCUUGACAUCCUUUGAAGCUUUUAGAGAUAGAAGUGUUCUCUUCGGAGACAAAGUGACAGGUGGUGCAUGGUCGUCGUCAGCUCGUGUCGUGAGAUGUUGGGUUAAGUCCCGCAACGAGCGCAACCCUUAUUGUUAGUUGCCAGCAUUCAGAUGGGCACUCUAGCGAGACUGCCGGUGACAAACCGGAGGAAGGCGGGGACGACGUCAGAUCAUCAUGCCCCUUAUGACCUGGGCUACACACGUGCUACAAUGGCGUAUACAACGAGUUGCCAACCCGCGAGGGUGAGCUAAUCUCUUAAAGUACGUCUCAGUUCGGAUUGUAGUCUGCAACUCGACUACAUGAAGUCGGAAUCGCUAGUAAUCGCGGAUCAGCACGCCGCGGUGAAUACGUUCCCGGGUCUUGUACACACCGCCCGUCACACCAUGGGAGUUUGUAAUGCCCAAAGCCGGUGGCCUAACCUUUUAGGAAGGAGCCGUCUAAGGCAGGACAGAUGACUGGGGUGAAGUCGUAACAAGAGCGUGGCCC
RNAcentral lists this ribosomal RNA (1139 nucleotides) under Leuconostoc pseudomesenteroides. RNAcentral describes it as "bacterial SSU rRNA". It matches the Rfam family "Bacterial small subunit ribosomal RNA", at positions 379 to 1505 of the family's 1533-position model. Lineage: Bacteria; Bacillati; Bacillota; Bacilli; Lactobacillales; Lactobacillaceae. The record is from RNAcentral.